Molecule: transfer RNA, 73 nt
Filed under: Candidatus Chloroheliaceae bacterium
Lineage: Bacteria; Bacillati; Chloroflexota; Chloroflexia; Candidatus Chloroheliales; Candidatus Chloroheliaceae
Description: tRNA-Cys
Rfam family: tRNA
About the family: Transfer RNA (tRNA) molecules are approximately 80 nucleotides in length. Their secondary structure includes four short double-helical elements and three loops (D, anti-codon, and T loops).
Source: RNAcentral
AGGCCGAUAGCCGAGCGGUCUCAGGCGGCAAUCUGCAAAAUUGCUUACAUGGGUUCAAAUCCCAUUCGGCCUU